Molecule: long non-coding RNA, 1969 nt
Filed under: Marmota monax (woodchuck)
Lineage: Eukaryota; Metazoa; Chordata; Mammalia; Rodentia; Sciuridae
Source: RNAcentral
AUUUGGACAAAUGUCACAGCUAUAUUUAUAUUCCACAAAUUUUUGUGAGUUAAUUAAGUGAGUAAACUCAUGUAAUGCAAAUAAAACUGUUUGACAAAUGGUGCAGCAAGAUCUCAAUAUUCUUGUUUUUGUUUUUCUUCUUUUUCUUAAUAUAACAUUCUUUAACUGGAUUUUUUUUUUCUUUUUGGCUUUGAGACACUCAGAAGAAGAAACUGGAAUACUUGGUAUGAUACCUGGAUGAAUUGACUGGCAAUUUAAAAGAAGUUAUUCUGAGUGAAAGAAGAUUCCAGAAGGAGGGAGUUGGUCUCUGACAUAAACCAAACGGUUCAUCUCCUCAACAUGUUCUGAAAUCAGGACUGAUGAGUAGGAUUCCACUGGGUCUUACAGGGUGAAAAUCCAUCAAGUAAAAUUAUCCCUUUUUGUGCCUUUUGUUCUUAAAAACACACAUUGGGAGAGGUCAAUGGAAGAGUUCCAUGAGAACCAGGAAGUGUUCCUGGUUUUGUAGCAACUCAAAGGCAACAGGUAGAUGCCACCAGAGCAAAAGAGGCAAAAUACAAAGAUCAAAACCAAAGAUAACCUAUUUAUCUUCCAAGGACUAGGCAGUGACACACAAUACCAAUGGAAAAGAUCCAAGUAAACAGCGAGAGGACUCACAGGGUGGCCCACAGGUCUCAAUUGGGUUCGUAUUCCAUAUUUCCCAUCUGGAUAAUUUCAAAGCCCUGCAGUUUUGUCAUUAUCAAAAAGAAGGUGAGUACUAAAGAAUGUUCUCUGGUGUUUUAGAAUAAGGUGUAAGAAUGUACCAUUGACUAGGAUGUCCAUUAAUCUUAACCAUCACCCUAGUUCCAGUGUCUGGUUUUAAUUAGCAUUUUUUUCUUCAAUUAUAUAUAAUUAUCCAAAGUGCUUAGUCCCCCAAGCAGUUUGGCAUGGGUAAGGUAGGUAAAGUUAUAAACCAGAUUAUGAAUUUUAUUGCUACUAUUGAAGCUGAAAUCCAUGAUACCAGUCGAAUCCUCAUUUCUUAUUUCCUUGGUUCUAGUCAUGUAAAACCUUGAUGUGAUGUAAAUAUAUAAUUCCUUAAGCAACCAAACCCUACAGCAUUUGUAACACAGUGGUUAGAAGAGUUGGGAACCUAGAACCUUUUGGAAUAACAUCCUGAGCAUUAUAAGAACCUAAAUUGUGUCUUUUUCCUUUGGAGUUUAAAAUGGCAUUGAAGUUAUACAGUAUUCUGCAAAAACAAGAGUUCCAAGAUUUAUUAGAAAAAUUAGCCCUAGGCUGCCACACAAAUAAACCCUUAAUAUCUCAAAGGUAUUAUGUAAUAAUUGGUUAUUUCACAUUUCUUCUAGCAGCUAUGGCCUCUUAGAGUAUUGUGACAUGGUAAGUGUGAGAUAGGAGAGGCCUGCUGGCUCUCACCAGCUGUAGCCUAGAGUGAUACAUGUCAUUUCUACUCAGAGUCUUUGGCCAGUAUUAGUGAUAUGCCCCCAACACACCACCACAAAAACUGUGGAAAGAUAAGGAAGUUUGUGGAAUUUUUGAUGAGCCCUGACCAUUUUUUACAAUAAGAUUUCUAUGGAGUCCUGGGAAUUAUAUUGUAGUUCCCAGUACUAAGCUAUGAAUGCCAAAUAACAUAAACAUGAAGAUGAGCUAGACACCUAGUACUGUAGGAGAUUUUCUUAUUAAGUUGGACAUACAAGUAAAUUUUUAAAAAAAUCAAGUUUGUGCUGCGCACAGUGGCAUAUGCCAUGAAUCCCAGCAGUUUGGGAGGCAGAGACAGGAGGAUCACACCUUUAAGGUGAGCUUCAGCAAUUUAGUGAGGCCGUAAGAUACUUAGUGAGACCCUGUAUCAAAAUAAAAAUUAAACAAAAGGGUUGGGGAUGUGGCUCAGUGGUCAAUUGCCUCUGAGUUAAAUUCCAUCAAGUUAGCCCUGUUUCCUGUUGCCAUGUCAUAUCCCUCCAGAAUUUUUACUAUUCUUUUC